RNAcentral lists this long non-coding RNA (935 nucleotides) under Gallus gallus (chicken). Lineage: Eukaryota; Metazoa; Chordata; Aves; Galliformes; Phasianidae. The record is from RNAcentral.
CGGGGCUCGGCGGCGGGAGCCCGGCGGGCCGGGCCGGGGCUGUAGCAGUCUCGAGUAGCGGUACCUCGCCCCAGGCCGGCCGGUACGGGUGCUACUCCGAGUCGAAUGUGGCUGCAGUGUUAAAGCUGGCUCAACAUCCUUUGUUAUACCUCUACAGAGACAGUUAUAUAGACAGCAGGAGAAAGUAUGACACAGUUCUGCAAGCAAGAAAGAAAAGGCCGGAAGUCCCAGGUCACCUUUUACCCAUAAGAAUAACAGAAGUGGAAGAAAGGUUGAAUGUAGCAGAAAUGACACAAGAAUGGAUUUCAGCAGAGAGCACUGAAGAAGAAUUACCUCUGAACAUAAUAUGCUAGCUAAAAAAAGCACAACUGAUAGCUGCCAAGACCAUUGUGGACCUAAAAUGCUAGCAGUGGUCAAAGCAAAUUAAAAUUUAUUAAGGGACCCUCAUGUAUAAUUUUACCACAGCAGGAUUAUACUACCAGCUCUGCAAAGGGAGAUUUAGUCAAGUAAUUCUCAUUAAGGGGCAAAACCCCUCUGACUUCUGCAGGUACUUUGCCUGAUUAAGCACUGAAGAACAGGCCCUAAGGUUGGCACGGCUGAGCUCUAACCUGUCUGCCUUUAUGCAAGCCACAGCUUCAUAUAUCAGCUCCAGCUCAUGCAGAGGAGUCUUACCAGGCAUUCUAAUCCUAAGGGGAAACAUUUCAUUGCAAUGCACAGUAAUUUGCAUUCUUUCACAAAAUUCUGCUAUUACAUUAUCCAUUUUUCUCUUGAUUAAAAGAGAUCAAGAAGUGCACACUCUCACACUACACAUGCAGGCUUUCCAUACAGGAGGCCUGGAAUCUACAUUCAAAUUCAGACUGGAGGAGAUCUGGCAACUUCUAGCUCUUUAUGGACUUAUGCAUUUACUCUUCAUCUUGGACUGGAAGCACACGGGA